AAAACAAAAGCUAUAAAGUUAAUAAAAACGCACAGAGACACAGCCACAGAGCCACACAGAUCUACAGAGCUGUGUGUGCCAUUCAAGUGACUCGAAAACAAAACUACGCAGCUCACAGUAUUCGGAAUUCGGUUUUCAGUUUUCGGUUUUUGGACGGGAGCUCCGAAAGUGGCUCUCGAGUGGUCCAAAAACAAAAAAAUCUGGAUGAGAGAUGAAUAAUAUUUAUUGUACAAUAUGUGAAGUGGCCAGGAAGAGUCCCAGCCAAGACCGCCUCCAAAAAUCUCCGAUUCCCAGCGGUAGCCAUCGCCCUCAAGUGUAACGAAAAUAUUUAAAUGAAAUUGUCAAGAGAGCGAUCUGGCCAAGACGGAGAUUGAUAGUGAAAGCGUAUAGUAGGCCAGGCCCAAUGAAUAAAUUUGAACUGCAUCGAAUAUAUAAUUCAAUAAAUACAAUACAAUAAUGGA
Long non-coding RNA from Drosophila ananassae, 461 nucleotides. RefSeq lists it as uncharacterized. The record is from RefSeq and is a predicted model, not a curated record. Lineage: Eukaryota; Metazoa; Arthropoda; Insecta; Diptera; Drosophilidae. The transcript has 2 exons.